Molecule: long non-coding RNA, 314 nt
Organism: Balaenoptera ricei (Rice's whale)
Lineage: Eukaryota; Metazoa; Chordata; Mammalia; Artiodactyla; Balaenopteridae
Exons: 3
Source: RefSeq, a predicted model, not a curated record
UGCAGGAAGCUUCAAAUGGUGAACUACAGCUGAGAGCUGCCUGCCUGGGGCCAGGAGUUGGUGUGAGGAUCCCGAGAGGUCGUACGAGUCUGUCAAGCUCCUCUCCUUGGAUGAUAUUUACCCCACCAACCCCCCACAGUUCUGUGUCCCCCUCAGAGAUCAUCAUGCACUUCGCUGUUUCCCAGAUACUGAAGCUCUGGACCUUCGUGGUAGACCUGGGCAUAUGUACUGCCAUGAUCUGUCUGACAUGUCUUCGUUGUGGCACACAGGAUCUUCACUGUGGCAUGCGGGAUCUUUAGUUGUGGCAUGCAGAC